Molecule: ribosomal RNA, 238 nt
Filed under: uncultured bacterium
Lineage: Bacteria
Description: partial 16S ribosomal RNA
Rfam family: Bacterial small subunit ribosomal RNA
Source: RNAcentral
GAUCAUGGCUCAGGACGAACGCUGGCGGCGUGCUUAACACAUGCAAGUCGAACGAGAAUCUACUGAAAGAGUUUUCGGACAAUGGAAGUAGAGGAAAGUGGCGGACGGGUGAGUAACGCGUGAGGAACCUGCCUUGAAGAGGGGGACAACAGUUGGAAACGACUGCUAAUACCGCAUGAAGCAUAGGGGUCGCAUGAUUCUUAUGCCAAAGAUUUAUCGCUUCAAGAUGGCCUCGCGU